GUGAAUCAUCAAAUUUUUGAACGCAAAUUGCGCUUCCUGGUAUUCCGGGGAGUAUGCCUGUCUGAGGGUCAGUAUUAAUAAAAAAUCGGUUUAUUUACAAAUUGUGAGGUUUCCGGAGUUUGGUCUAUCUUAAUAUUUUUGGUUAAGAGGCUUAAAAUUGAGCUUUUUUGCUUAUUUAUAAACGUAAAUAAAUUUUUUUUAUUUGUCUAUUCUUAAUGCUAAAAUUGUAUUAGUUGAGAUUACAUCGUGUGGCUUUGUGUUCAUAA
Molecule: unclassified non-coding RNA, 266 nt
Filed under: Glomeraceae sp.
Lineage: Eukaryota; Fungi; Glomeromycota; Glomeromycetes; Glomerales; Glomeraceae
Description: partial contains 5.8S ribosomal RNA and internal transcribed spacer 2
Rfam family: 5.8S ribosomal RNA (bases 1-71)
Source: RNAcentral